AUGGAUAGUUGGCUUUAAGAACUGGCAUGGACACAUGCCAAGAACUCUGAAGAGGGAUUCUAGAAGCUAUAAAAAGAAGAAAGGAAAAGAAGGUUUUUGAACUGACAAUUGCUACCUGGCAUCUGGGGGUAUCUGGGUCCUGGUCUUGUUCAAGCUAAGGGAAGGAGAACUGCUUCUGAGAGCUUUUCUGACCGCAAGCCUUUGGUGAACAAAGGACAAUGCUUCAACCAUUCCCUGAAAUUCCUGGUCAGCAGGGGAGCAGUCUUGGAGAAGAUCUGGUUAUCCCUACUAUCUAAAUACUGGACCAGUAGGAGACAAUACAUCUAGUCAUGAGCAGAGGACCCAGAGAUACAGAAAGAUAGCCACUUAAGGGACAAAAGCAGCUUCAGGGAACAUGGACUCUGGUGGUAAAAUAUAAGAAGUGUCAGCUAUUGGCUCUACAAAGACAUUGACCUUUGGGGAUCGACAGAGCUACAUCUAAGAGUAACUUCCUGAGGACUCCACAAAGAGACCAGGAGUUGAAAGUUAUUCAGCCAUGUGUCCUCUUCACAUGAACCUUAAUACAUUUUAAACUUUAAAUCUGUGUCUACUUUCUCUACACAUCCUGUAUGAAUUGGUGGAAGAACACACCACAGGCUCUGGGGAGGAUGUUUUAUAUGAAUUGUUUAUACCAUCCUAGUAAAUAUGUUUGCUGAGAACUAACUGAGGCUAAUGAAUGACAAUCAGUGGGAAAUAAGCCAGCAAGGGCUUGUGAACAACAGUAUUAGAAACCCAGGCCCUUAGAUUUUCUCAUAGAUUCCUGAGGCUGAGGAGCAGUCACUCUCUGGGGACCUUGGCCACAAACAUGAGCAGGAGUUAGGGAAAUGAUCCUGGAGGGGGAGCUAUACUUAAUCUACACCAACUAUGAUUAAAAUCAUUAGUGUCAUGACUAAUAAUUCACCCAACAAAUAUUUGUCAAUUUCCUACUCUGUGCAGAGAUGGUACUAGUUAUUUGGGGGAGAUAACACCAUUUAGACAAGACAUUGUCUCAUCUCCUGUGGAAAUCAUGGUCACUGGAAUAUGAAGAUAAUACUAAUAACCCACCAUCAAUAGAAUACUGCUAUUAUUUUUCCAUUCCACUGAGUCUAGCUACACUGUUAUUAUAUCCUCUUAUGGCCAGUGGCAUACAUUCUCAGAGCAGUAGUUUAGGGUUAGUGAUUUACAAACUUCAACCAGGCUGAAUAAUACAUAUCUUGAAGUCUGAUAGGAUAGAUGGGGUUCGAAUUCUCUUUCCAUCCCUGCUUGUGGAGGCUUCUCUCCUAAGGAUGGGUGGUAAGUACAAAUUUAU
This 1327-nucleotide long non-coding RNA is filed under the name Monodelphis domestica (gray short-tailed opossum). RNAcentral describes it as "lncRNA (ENSMODG00000043104.1)". Lineage: Eukaryota; Metazoa; Chordata; Mammalia; Didelphimorphia; Didelphidae. The record is from RNAcentral.